GACGAACGCUGGCGGCGUGCUUAACACAUGCAAGUCGAACGCUGAAGCUCAGCUUUUGUUGUGUGGAUGAGUGGCGAAAGGGUGAGUAACACGUGAGUAACCUGCCCCCUGCUUUGGGAUAACGCCCGGAAACGGGUGCUAAUACUGGAUAUUCACUGGUCUGCGCAUGGGUGAUGGUGGAAAGGGGUUUUCUGGUGGGGGGUGGGCUCGCGGCCUAUCAGCUUGUUGGUGGGUUAUGGCCUACCCAGGCUUUGACGGGUGGGAGGCCUGAAAGGGUGCCUGGUAAGAUUGGGACUGAGACACGGCCUGGACUACUACGGGAGCCCGCAGUGGGGACUAGUGCGCAAUGGGCGCAGGCCUGAUGCAGCGACGCCGCGUGAGGGAUGGAGGCCGUCGGGUUGUGAACCUCUUUCGCUAAUGCUCAAGCCGCAACAAUGGUUGUAGUGACGGUACUGGGUAAAGAAGCGCCGGCUAACUACGUG
Molecule: ribosomal RNA, 482 nt
Filed under: uncultured bacterium
Lineage: Bacteria
Description: partial 16S ribosomal RNA
Rfam family: Bacterial small subunit ribosomal RNA
Source: RNAcentral